RNAcentral lists this long non-coding RNA (2593 nucleotides) under Oryzias javanicus (javanese ricefish). RNAcentral describes it as "lncRNA (ENSOJAG00000018631.1)". The record is from RNAcentral. Lineage: Eukaryota; Metazoa; Chordata; Actinopteri; Beloniformes; Adrianichthyidae.
CCUGGUUCUUUGAAUAUUGCUGAUAUCAUCACGAGAGGCACUGAAGCUAAAAACCUCAAUGAAAACUCUGAGUGGCAAGGUGGUCCAAAAUUCUUGAGAUCUUCAGAAGAGGAAUGGCCCGUGAAGUCAGCCAAAGAACUGGCAAUGGCAGCAAAAGAAAAAGUCAACAAGCUACAGAAAAAAUCAUUCAUUGCUGUACUGACAAGAACCCAAGCAAAGAAAUGUGAAGGCAAAGAGAACCCCCAUGAAUGCCUACCAAACUUAGGAAGACCAUCUGCAGGUUCAGUUAUCAGAAAACUUGUGGAUGUCAAGCGCUUCAGUUGUUUGUCUCGCCUAAUAAAAACUGUCGCAUGGAUGUGGAGAGCAGCAAAGAGAUUUGGAGGAAAAAACAAAGCCAUGGAGAAACCACAGUGGGAGGCAGUUCCAUUGACUGGAAUCAUCUCAGUGAAAGAACGUGAAAAUGCCCUAAGGGACGUUCUCCUAGCGGCUCAAGAGGACAUGAUCCUUCCUGCCACCACGGCUGACAGAUUAGUAGUCCACAAAAAUGAAGAUUCUGGAUUAUUGGUUUGUGGUGGUCGGAUACAGGCUUUCAGAGAAGAUAAAGUUAGCGUCCCAAUCUUACCUCAAGACGCUUGGGUGUCUACUUUAUUAGCCCGGGAAGCCCAUAAUCAAAAUCACGAAGGAAUUGCUGCAACUCUGCUAAAAAUGAGAACUAAAGCUUGGGUGAUAAAAGGUCGAAGGAUCGUCAAACGAGUUGUUGAUGAAUGCUUAAUCUGCAGGAAAGAGAAGUCAAAGAAAUGUCAACAAAUAAUGAGUUCAUUACCACCAGAGAGGACCGAACCUGCUGCGCCAUUCCAAUUCACGACUAUAGACCUCUUUGGACCAUACCAAGUAAACGAUGAUGUUAGAAAAAGAGUCACACAAAAGGUCUGGGGGAUUCUGUUUUGUUGCAUGGCAAGCAGAGCUGUUCAUGCAGAAAUCGCAAAUGACUUGUCAACAGAAGGAUUUCUAAUUGCCUACCAAAAAUUCACUGCAAUUAGAGGACAUCCAAGAAAAAUCUGGUCAGACCCUGGCACCAAUUUUGUUGGGGCUAAACCAGUUUUGAAAGAAAUGUACAAGUUCCUGGACAAUCAAGGAAAAAGAGGUUUGGAAGACCUUUCAGCCGAACGAGGAACAGAGUGGGUGUGGAAAAUCCAUCCAGCGGAUUCUCCACACAGAAAUGGAGCUGCAGAGGCUGCUGUUCGCAUCCUGAAGAGGGCACUGCAAAACAUCGGGAGAAGAUCCUCACUGACUUAUAGUGAAUUCCAGACAGCACUCUACAUGGCUGCAAAUCUGGCAAAUGAGAGGCCAAUCGACGCAAGGACGCAAAGCCGAGAGGAUUGUAUCCUGUACAUCACACCGAACACUCUACUACUGGGCCGAGCAUCUUCAGGGGGAGAUCCCGGGACUUUCGACUUCACCAGCUAUCCCUACAAGAGACUAAGAGCCAUACAGGCUGAAGUAGACACUUUUUGGAGAGAAUGGAGCCAGCUCGCUGGACCUAAUUUGUUCCUGCGGAGCAAGUGGCACACCGCACAGAGAAAUGUUACUGUUGGGGACAUUGUGUGGCUAAGCGACCAAAAUGCCUUGAGAGGACAAUUUAGGAUGGGUCGCGUAGUUGGUGCCAAUCCGGACAGCACAGGUGUGGUCAGGGAUGUUAAUGUUAGGGUUACUCCAAGUUACUGCCCACUUCAGGUGAAAACAAAAAACAGGCAGGGAAAGAAAAGUCUUUCACAACUUAACGGGCAAAAAGAAAAAGCGACUGUGUUACAUAGGGAUGUACGACGGUUAGUUGUUUUGCUACCUGUUGAGGAACAAACGUAAAUUAAGUUUUGUAAACGUGGUUGACAAUAGUUUGACCUCUGGCAGUCAGCGACAUUCUUAGUGUAUCCACCAGAAUGCCGAGUGGGAGGUGUUGAGUCAAAACGCACGUAAUUGCACGUAAAUGAAAAAAAAAAAAAAAAAAAAAAAAAAAAAAUAAAUAAUAAUAAUAAUAAAUAAAAAUUUUAAAAGGUAAAUAAAUAAAUAAAAUAAAAAUAAAUAAGUACGAUUGGAAUAGAAAGAAUAUUUUAGAAAUGUUGUUCAUGUUCCUGAUUUUAAAAGGGGAGCUUGAGAGGCGGUAACAAAAAGUUGCGUCACCACGUCAGCGCGGCUGCAGGCACGUAGUGAUUUGGACGUGGCGCGGGAGAAAAGGUUCUGAUCAGACACGCCAACAGGUAGACGAGCGUUGGACCGUUCCUUAAACCUCGCGGAGCAUCCUUAAAGGCAUCUAAAAGAGUGGAGAGGCAGCCGGUAAGAUGCGGAAAUACGCGAAUGGGUGGGGUGCUAUUGAUCAGCUGUUUGUCGCGUGUCAGAUCAGCUGUUUGUCGCGUGUCAGAUCAGCUGUUUGUCGCGUGUCAGAUACUUUUCCGGAUGUGAAUUGUUUGUAAAUCAGUACUAUGUUAAGUUACUUUCUUGUUCUAAUUUCAUUUUCUUUCUAUGUAAAUUCUUGCAAUAUUUGUUUGAAAUCUAACAAUUUAUAGUUAUUUGUUGAUUGUAACAAAAAUUUCUCAUU